UACGUAGGGGGCAAGCGUUGUCCGGAUUUAUUGGGCGUAAAGAGCGUGUAGGCGGCUGGGUAGGUCCGUUGUGAAAACUCGAGGCUCAACCUCGAGACGCCGAUGGAAACCCUCCAGCUAGAGUCCGGAAGAGGAGAGUGGAAUUCCUGGUGUAGCGGUGAAAUGCGCAGAUAUCAGGAAGAACACCCGUGGCUAAGGCGGCUCUCUAGUACGGUACUGACGCUGAGACGCGAGAGCGUGGGGAGCGAACAGG
Molecule: ribosomal RNA, 253 nt
Filed under: uncultured bacterium
Lineage: Bacteria
Description: partial 16S ribosomal RNA
Rfam family: Bacterial small subunit ribosomal RNA
Source: RNAcentral